Molecule: ribosomal RNA, 253 nt
Filed under: uncultured bacterium
Lineage: Bacteria
Description: partial 16S ribosomal RNA
Rfam family: Bacterial small subunit ribosomal RNA
Source: RNAcentral
CACGUAGGGCGCGAGCGUUGUCCGGAAUUAUUGGGCGUAAAGAGCUCGUAGGCGGCCUGUUGCGUCCGCUGUGAAAGCCCGGGGCUUAACCCCGGGUCUGCAGUGGAUACGGGCAGGCUAGAGGUAGGUAGGGGAGAAUGGAAUUCCCGGUGUAGCGGUGAAAUGCGCAGAUAUCAGGAGGAACACCGGUGGCGAAGGCGGGUCUCUGGGCCGAUACUGACGCUGAGGAGCGAAAGCGUGGGGAGCGAACAGG